UACGGGGGGGGCAAGCGUUGUUCGGAAUUACUGGGCGUAAAGGGCUCGUAGGUGGCCCCAUAAGUCAGACGUGAAAUCCCUCGGCUCAACCGAGGAACUGCGUCUGAGACUGCGGGGCUUGAAUCCGGGAGAGGGAUGCGGAAUUCCAGGUGUAGCGGUGAAAUGCGUAGAUAUCUGGAGGAACACCGGUGGCGAAGGCGGCAUCCUGGACCGGUAUUGACACUGAGGAGCGAAAGCCAGGGGAGCAAAC
Molecule: ribosomal RNA, 250 nt
Filed under: uncultured bacterium
Lineage: Bacteria
Description: partial 16S ribosomal RNA
Rfam family: Bacterial small subunit ribosomal RNA
Source: RNAcentral